RNAcentral lists this ribosomal RNA (372 nucleotides) under uncultured organism. RNAcentral describes it as "bacterial SSU rRNA". It matches the Rfam family "Bacterial small subunit ribosomal RNA", at positions 526 to 896 of the family's 1533-position model. The record is from RNAcentral.
CGUAGGGAGCAAGCGUUGUCCGGAAUCAUUGGGCGUAAAGCGCGCGUAGGCGGCCCGGUAAGUCCGCUCUGAAAGUCAAAGGCUCAACCUUUGAAAGCGGGUGGAUACUGUCGGGCUAGAGUCCGGAAGAGGCGAGUGGAAUUCCUGGUGUAGCGGUGGAAUGCGCAGAUAUCAGGAGGAACACCAACGGCGAAGGCAGCUCGCUGGGACGGUACUGACGCUAAGGCGCGAAAGCGUGGGGAGCGAACAGGAUUAGAUACCCUGGUAGUCCACGCCGUAAACGAUGGGCAUUAGGUGUGGGAGGUGUCGACUCCUCCCGUGCCGGCGCUAACGCAUUAAAUGCCCCGCCUGGGGAGUACGGCCGCAAGGCUA